RNAcentral lists this ribosomal RNA (451 nucleotides) under uncultured bacterium. Its description in RNAcentral is "bacterial SSU rRNA". It matches the Rfam family "Bacterial small subunit ribosomal RNA", at positions 29 to 524 of the family's 1533-position model. The record is from RNAcentral.
AAUGAACGCUGGCGGCAUGCCUAACACAUGCAAGUCGAACGAAGGCUUCGGCCUUAGUGGCGCACGGGUGCGUAACGCGUGGGAAUCUGCCCUUGGGUUCGGAAUAACUCAGAGAAAUUUGAGCUAAUACCGGAUGAUGACGUAAGUCCAAAGAUUUAUCGCCCAAGGAUGAGCCCGCGUAGGAUUAGCUUGUUGGUGAGGUAAAAAGCUCACCAAGGCGACGAUCAGUAGCUGGUCUGAGAGGAUGAUCAGCCACAUUGGGACUGAGACACGGCCCAAACUCCUACGGGAGGCAGCAGUGGGGAAUAUUGGACAAUGGGCGCAAGCCUGAUCCAGCCAUGCCGCGUGAGUGAUGAAGGCCCUAGGGUUGUAAAGCUCUUUUGUGCGGGAAGAUAAUGACGGUACCGCAAGAAUAAGCCCCGGCUAACUUCGUGCCAGCAGCCGCGGUAAU